Molecule: long non-coding RNA, 910 nt
Filed under: Prunus persica (peach)
Lineage: Eukaryota; Viridiplantae; Streptophyta; Magnoliopsida; Rosales; Rosaceae
Description: long non-coding RNA (PPER_LNC007441)
Source: RNAcentral
UGUUAUUGUGUGAUCUUUGAAAAUGGCGAAUUACCAGAACCAAUAUGGUGCAACGGCCCAAUCUACAAAUGAUUACGGGAACCCACUCACCAACUACACCGGAUCAGAGCCCCAAUCUACAAAUGAGUACGGGGCUACAGAUGAGUAUGGGAACCCAGUCACCACCUACACCAGAUCAGAGCCCCACUAUACAGAUGAGUAUGGGAACCCAGUACGCGAAAGGGGGAUGAUGGACAAGAUCAAGGAGAAGCUCCCAGGUACUCAUGACCCCUACUCAUCUCAUUCUCAGACAACCUACCCCACUGCACGUUACGGUGAAACCGGCUACACUGGAUUGGAGCAGCACCAUGGGAUGAUGAACAAGAUGCCAGGUACUGACCCCUACUCAUCUCAUUCUCAUACAACCGGCACCACUGCACCUUACGAUGGAACCGGCUACACCGGAACAGAGUACCGCCAGCACAAGGGCACGAUGGACAGGAUCAAGGAUAAGCUGACUGGGACUGGUGGACAUAGGGUGGAUGAUCCCUACUCAUCUCAUUCUCAUAAAACCGCCACCACCACACCUUACGGUGGCACCACCACCACAGCUUACGGUGACAGCACCACCACACCUUCACCUUACGGUGGCACCACCACCACACAUUCACCUUACGGUGGCACCACCACCACAGCUUACGGUGACACCACCACCACACCUUCAGCUUACGGUGGCACCACCACCACACCUUCAGCUUACGGUGGCACCGCCACCACCACCUACCCCCGUGAAAAGAAGGGCAUCAUGGACAAGAUCAAAGAGAAACUUCCUGGUGGACAUCAUUAUUAAUAAUAGGGUUAUGUAAGAGAUAGAUACGUUAGGUAUCGUUUUGUGUUCAAUGUUUUAGUAUGACGUGUAUAAUAAGCGGUG